AAUUGACGUUGGAUUACCAGUGAGCGGCGGACGGGUGAGUAACACGUGGGCAACCUGCCCUGGAGCGGGGGAUAACAUCUGGAAACAGGUGCUAAUACCGCAUAACAACGAAAACCACAUGGUUUUCGUUUCAAAGAUGGUUUCGGCUAUCACUUCAGGAUGGGCCCGCGGUGCAUUAGCUAGUUGGUAAGGUAACGGCUUACCAAGGCAAUGAUGCAUAGCCGAGUUGAGAGACUGAUCGGCCACAAUGGAACUGAGACACGGUCCAUACUCC
Molecule: ribosomal RNA, 274 nt
Filed under: uncultured Lactobacillus sp.
Lineage: Bacteria; Bacillati; Bacillota; Bacilli; Lactobacillales; Lactobacillaceae
Description: partial 16S ribosomal RNA
Rfam family: Bacterial small subunit ribosomal RNA
Source: RNAcentral